GAUGAACGCUGGCGAGAUGCCUUACACAUGCAAGUCGUACGGGGGAUUUUUAAUUCAAGUGGCGGACGGGUGAGUAACACGUGAGAAUUUGCCUUUAGGAGGGGGACAACAAUUGGAAACGAAUGCUAAUACCCCAUAUGCUUUCGAGUGAAAUGGAUUUUAUCCGCCUAGAGAGAAGCUCGCGGCUGAUUAGCUUGUUGGUAAGGUAAGAGCUUACCAAGGCGACGAUCAGUAUCUGGUUUGAGAGGACGAUCAGACACACUGGAACUGAGACACGGUCCAGACUCCUACGGGAGGCAGCAGUGGGGAAUUUUCCGCAAUGGGCGAAAGCCUGACGGAGCAAUACCGCGUGAGGGAAGAAUGCCUAUGGGUUGUAAACCUCUUUUUUCAGGGAGGAAUAAAAUGACGUGUACCUGAAGAAUAAGCAUCGGCUAACUCCGUG
This 442-nucleotide ribosomal RNA is filed under the name uncultured bacterium. Its description in RNAcentral is "bacterial SSU rRNA". It matches the Rfam family "Bacterial small subunit ribosomal RNA", at positions 28 to 507 of the family's 1533-position model. The record is from RNAcentral.